Molecule: ribosomal RNA, 444 nt
Filed under: Tomoberthella martensi
Lineage: Eukaryota; Metazoa; Mollusca; Gastropoda; Pleurobranchida; Pleurobranchidae
Description: partial 16S ribosomal RNA
Rfam family: Bacterial large subunit ribosomal RNA
Source: RNAcentral
AGCCUGAAGAAAUUAUUUUAGGUGGAAUCUGCUCAGUGUGCCAUGGAAUAUUAUAAAUAGCCGCGGUACUCUGACCGUGCUAAGGUAGCAUAAUCAGUUGGCCUUUAAAUGGGGUCGGGUAUGAAUGAAAGAACGUAGCCAAGCUGUCUCGGGACUAUUUUUUCGAAUUUACUGUGUAGAUGAAAAAGUCUACAGAAAAAUAAAAGACGAGAAGACCCUUAGAAUUUAAAUGACAUUGAAGUAGUUUAUUCAAGAUAUUUUUGUUGGGGUGACAAGAAGACAGAAAAACUCUUCUGAAGAUACAAGACGAUUCUUAUAAGAUCGGAUAAAUUACCUGAGGGAUAACAGCAUAAUUUAGAGAUUAAGUUUGUGACCUCGAUGUUGGACUAGGAAAUUGAUAGACUAGCCGUUUAUUAUAUUGGUUCUGUUCGAACUGUUUUUCCU